Molecule: ribosomal RNA, 252 nt
Filed under: uncultured bacterium
Lineage: Bacteria
Description: partial 16S ribosomal RNA
Rfam family: Bacterial small subunit ribosomal RNA
Source: RNAcentral
UACGUAGGGUGCGAGCGUUAAUCGGAAUUACUGGGCGUAAAGCGUACGCAGGCGGUUUUCCAAGACAGAUGUGAAAUCCCCGGGCUCAACCUGGGAAUGGCAUUUGUGACUGGAAGGCUAGAGUGUGUCAGAGGGGGUAGAAUUCCACGUGUAGCAGUGAAAUGCGUAGAGAUGUGGAGGAAUACCGAUGGCGAAGGCAGCCCCCUGGGAUAACACUGACGCUCAUGCACGAAAGCGUGGGGAGCAAACAGG